Molecule: long non-coding RNA, 2649 nt
Organism: Oncorhynchus keta (chum salmon)
Lineage: Eukaryota; Metazoa; Chordata; Actinopteri; Salmoniformes; Salmonidae
Exons: 2
Source: RefSeq, a predicted model, not a curated record
AGAUACUAGUGUGUCAUUCUGCCAGACCAUAUUUAUAUAAUAUAAUGUUUUUAGGUGAAGAGAUACUGGUGUGUCAUUCUGCCAGACCAUAUUUAUAUAAUAUAAUGUUUUUAGGUGAAGAGAUACUGGUGUGUCAUUCUGCCAGACCAUAUUUAUAUAAUAUAAUGUUUUUAGGUGAAGAGAUACUGGUGUGUCAUUCUGCCAGACCAUAUUUAUAUAAUAUAAUGUUUUUAGGUGAAGAGAUACUGGUGUGUCAUUCUGCCAGACCAUAUUUAUAUAAUAUAAUGUUUUUAGGUGAAGAGAUACUGGUGUGUCAUUCUGCCAGACCAUAUUUAUAUAAUAUAAUGUUUUUAGGUGAAGAGAUACUGGUGUGUCAUUCUGCCAGACCAUAUUUAUAUAAUAUAAUGUUUUUAGGUGAAGAGAUACUGGUGUGUCAUUCUGCCAGACCAUAUUUAUAUAAUAUAAUGUUUUUAGGUGAAGAGAUACUGGUGUGUCAUUCUGCCAGACCAUAUUUAUAUAAUAUAAUGUUUUUAGGUGAAGAGAUACUGGUGUGUCAUUCUGCCAGAACAUAUUUUCUGUUACGUUCUUUGUGAUGGUUUUGUGCAUAAUGUUUUUUAGGAAUAGUAUUGGUUUUGCGUCCCAAAUUUAACUUUUAUUCCAGAAGUAGUGCACUACUUAGCUACAGACAAUACUCCAUAAUGACAAAGCAAAAACAGGUUUUUAGACAUUUUUGCUAAUUUAUUAAAAAAUAAACUGAAUUAUCACAUUUACAUAAGUAUUCAGACCCUUUACUCAGUACUUUGUUGAAGCAUCUUUGUCAGCGAUUACAACCUUGAGUCUUCUUGGGUAUGAUGCUACAAGGUUGGCACACCUGUAUUUGGGGAGUUUCUCCCAUUCUUCUCUGCAGAUCCUCUCAGGUUGGAUGGGGAGCGUCGCUGCACAGCUAUUUUCAGGUCUCUACAGAGAUGUUAGAUCGGGUUCAAGUCCAGGCUCUGAGGUCCUGAGCGCUCUGGAGCAGGUUUUAAUCAAAUAUCUCUCUGUACUUUGCUCCGUUCAUCUUUGCCUCGAUCCUGACCAGUGUCACAGUCCCUACCACUGAAAAACAGCCCCACAGCAUGAUGCUGCCACCACCAGGUUUCCUCCAGAUGUGAUGCUUGGCAUUCAGGCCAAAUAGUUCAAUCUUGGUUUCAUCAGACCAGAGAAUCUUGUUUCUCAUGGUCUGAGAGUCCUUUAGGUGCUUUUCACUGAGGAGUGGCUUCCGUCUGGCCACUCUACCAUAAAGGCCUGAUUGGUGGAGUGCUGCAGAGAUGGUUGUCCUUCUGGAAGGUUCUCCCAUCUCCACAGAGGAACUCUGGAGCUCUGUCAGAGUGACCAUCGGGUUAUUGGUCACCUCCCUGACCAAGGCCCGUCUACCCCGAUUGCUCAGUUGGGCCGGCAAAAGAUUCUUGGUGGUUCCAAACUUCUUCCAUUAAAGAAUGAUGGAGGUCACUGCAUUGCUGCAGAAAUAUUUUGGUACCCUUCCACAGAUCUGUGCCUCGACACAGUCCUGUCUCUGAGCUCUACGGACAAUUCCUUUGAACUCAUGGCUUGGUUUUUGCUCUGACAUGCACUGUCAACUGUGGGACCUUAUAUAGACAGGUGUGUGCCUUUUUCCAGAUCAUGUCCAAUUAAUUUGAAUUUACCACAGGUGGACUCCAAUCAAGUUGUAGAAACCUCUCAACGAUGAUCAAUGGAAACAGGAUCCACCUGAGCUCAAUUUUGAUUCUCAUAGCAAAGGGUCUGAAUACUUAUGUAAAUUACGUAUGUAUGUAAAUAAGGUAUUUCUGUUUAUAUUUGACCCCUUUCUCCCCAAUUUCGUGUCAUCCAAUUGUUUUCAGUAGCUACUAUCUUGUCUCAUCGGAAUUGUUGUUGACCAGAUCAAUGUUGAUGUGUUAAAAAAAAACGGUCUUAUAUUCUUUGAUUGUAAGAGCCGUGGUUUAGUGGUAACACUCCCUCUUAUCACAUACCAACUUCCGGCGCCGACGGAGAUGGCCGCCUCGCUUCAUGUUCCUAUGAAAAAACGAUGCAGAUUUGAUUUACUGUAUGUGACUCUGACGGAGACCCCAGGGGUUUUAAAUCGACCCUUCUGCCUUUCUCUGGCUCUAUAUCUUCUUCUAAUAUGUCAAAUGACUGCAUCCAGUUUGCUGAGUAGAGUGUUUGAGGUUAUUUUGUAGAUGACAUCGCUGAAGUCGAGGAUCGGUAGGAUGGUCAGUUUUACGAGGGUAUGUUUGGCAGCGUGAGUGAAGGAGGCUUUGUUGCGAAAUAGGGAGCCGAUUCUAGAUGUAAUAUUGGAUUGGAGAUGCUCAACAUGAGUCUGGAAGGAGAGUUUACAGUCUAACCAGACACCUAGGUAUUUGUAGCUCUGGAUAAGAGCGUCUGCUAAAUGAAUGACUUAAAUGUAAAUGUAAAUGUAGUUGUCCACAUAUUCCAAGUCAGAACCGUCCAGAGUAGUGAUGCUCGUCGGGCGGGCGGGUGCGGGCAUCGAUCGGUUGAAGAGCAUGCACUUAGUUUUAGACAUUUUUUCUAAAAACUUGUUUUGGCUUUGUCAUUAUGGGGUAUUAUGUGUAAAUUGGUGAGAAAUAAAAAUACAUUUAGAAUAACUUAACAAAA